UGCGGAAGGAUCAUUACCGAGUGUAGGGUUCCUAGCGAGCCCAACCUCCCACCCGUGUUUACUGUACCUUAGUUGCUUCGGCGGGCCCGCCAUUCAUGGCCGCCGGGGGCUCUCAGCCCCGGGCCCGCGCCCGCCGGAGACACCACGAACUCUGUCUGAUCUAGUGAAGUCUGAGUUGAUUGUAUCGCAAUCAGUUAAAACUUUCAACAAUGGAUCUCUUGGUUCCGGCAUCGAUGAAGAACGCAGCGAAAUGCGAUAACUAGUGUGAAUUGCAGAAUUCCGUGAAUCAUCGAGUCUUUGAACGCACAUUGCGCCCCCUGGUAUUCCGGGGGGCAUGCCUGUCCGAGCGUCAUUGCUGCCCAUCAAGCACGGCUUGUGUGUUGGGUCGUCGUCCCCUCUCCGGGGGGGACGGGCCCCAAAGGCAGCGGCGGCACCGCGUCCGAUCCUCGAGCGUAUGGGGCUUUGUCACCCGCUCUGUAGGCCCGGCCGGCGCUUGCCGAACGCAAAUCAAUCUUUUCCAGGUUGACCUCGGAUCAGGUAGGGAUACCCGCUG
RNAcentral lists this ribosomal RNA (553 nucleotides) under Aspergillus flavus. RNAcentral's name for it is "eukaryotic LSU rRNA". The stretch from base 199 to 352 matches the Rfam family "5.8S ribosomal RNA". The record is from RNAcentral. Lineage: Eukaryota; Fungi; Ascomycota; Eurotiomycetes; Eurotiales; Aspergillaceae.